This 97-nucleotide non-coding RNA is filed under the name beta proteobacterium AAP99. RNAcentral's name for it is "c-di-GMP-I riboswitch aptamer". It matches the Rfam family "c-di-GMP-I riboswitch aptamer". Rfam says of the family: GEMM was predicted in a large-scale screen for bacterial structured RNA regulatory elements. Lineage: Bacteria; Pseudomonadati; Pseudomonadota; Betaproteobacteria. The record is from Rfam by way of RNAcentral. RNAcentral also lists the same sequence under 1 other name.
ACUCGUACGGGGCAAAGCGGCAGAGAUGCCGUGACGCAAAGCCUCCGGUCCACGCGCGGCGCCUGCCGGCGCCGCGAUGGAUAGCGGGGCCGCCCUU